UGUAAAAAUUUAUAAACCAUCUCUUAUGUUAUCGACCUUUCAAUCAAAAAAACCUUCUUGUAUCAAAGCGAAUCCAACGAACCCAUCAUUUGAAUGAUGUAAGGUAAAAACCAAACCUGGCACGAAAAUAAAUCGAUCCGCUUAUCACGAUAAUUAUAUUUGUUCGAUACCCUGUUGUCAAUAUAAAUGUUGAGAAUAGAAU
This 202-nucleotide long non-coding RNA is filed under the name Panax ginseng (ginseng). Its description in RNAcentral is "long non-coding RNA (PGIN_LNC005438)". The record is from RNAcentral. Lineage: Eukaryota; Viridiplantae; Streptophyta; Magnoliopsida; Apiales; Araliaceae.